Molecule: ribosomal RNA, 402 nt
Filed under: Isochrysidales sp.
Lineage: Eukaryota; Haptophyta; Isochrysidales
Description: SSU rRNA
Rfam family: Eukaryotic small subunit ribosomal RNA
Source: RNAcentral
ACUGCGCGGUAAUUCCAGCUCCAAUAGCGUAAAUUAAAGCUGUUGCAGUUAAAACGCUCGUAGUCGGAUUUCGGUGCGGGCCGGCCGGUCUGCCGAUGGGUAUGCACUGGUUGGCGCGUCCUUCCUCCCGGAGACCGCGCCUACUCUUAACUAAGCGGGCGCGGGAGACGGGACGUUUACUUUGAAAAAAUCAGAGUGUUUCAAUCAGGCAGUCGCUCUUGCAUGGAUUAGCAUGGGAUAAUGAAAUAGGAUUCUGGUGCUAUUUUUUUGGUUUCGAACACCGGAGUAAUGAUUAACAGAGACAGUCAGGGGCACUCGUAUUCCGCCGAGAAAGGUGAAAUUCUCAGACCAGCGGAAGACGAACCAAUGCGAAAGCAUUUGCCAGGGAUGUUUUCACUGAUC